RNAcentral lists this ribosomal RNA (476 nucleotides) under uncultured Archaeoglobus sp. RNAcentral describes it as "bacterial SSU rRNA". It matches the Rfam family "Archaeal small subunit ribosomal RNA", at positions 339 to 816 of the family's 1478-position model. Lineage: Archaea; Methanobacteriati; Methanobacteriota; Archaeoglobi; Archaeoglobales; Archaeoglobaceae. The record is from RNAcentral.
GCGCGAAACCUCCGCAAUGCGGGAAACCGCGAUGGGGUCAGCCGGAGUGCCGAUGCUUGCAUCGGCUGUCGGGGAGCCUAAAAAGCUCCCCAUAGCAAGGGCCGGGCAAGGCCGGUGGCAGCCGCCGCGGUAAUACCGGCGGCCCGAGUGGCGGUCACUAUUAUUGGGCUUAAAGCGUCCGUAGCCGGGUUGGGAAGUCCUCCGGGAAAUCUGGCCGCUUAACGGUCAGAAUGCCGGAGGAUACUCCCAGCCUAGGGAGCGGGAGAGGCCGAGGGUAUUCCCGGAGUAGGGGUGAAAUCCUAUAAUCCCGGGAGGACCACCUGUGGCGAAGGCGCUCGGCUGGAACGCGUCCGACGGUGAGGGACGAAGGCCAGGGGAGCAAACCGGAUUAGAUACCCGGGUAGUCCUGGCUGUAAACGAUGCGGACUUUGUGUCGGACAAGCUAUGAGCUUGUCCGGUGCCGGAGGGAAACCGUU